Long non-coding RNA from Equus caballus (horse), 5289 nucleotides. Lineage: Eukaryota; Metazoa; Chordata; Mammalia; Perissodactyla; Equidae. The record is from Ensembl.
UGGGGGAGCCCCCAUGGGAGGACCAUGUUGGGAGGGAGAUGCCAGAGUCGUGACCUGAGUCAGCGUGACUUUCAAAGGGCUGACCUGAAGGUAGCUGUAUCUAUCUCCCUGGAAAACUGGUGCCUCAGACCUGGGGGCCUGCUGCUUCCAGCGCACGGUGUGUGCACAGGGCGAAGGGUCUGUGAGGAGGGUAGGAACGGGCCAACAGUCAGUGUUCUCCCCAAGCUGAACCAAGCCACUGAACGUCGGUUGAGCUCCUCCUGUAUUCCAGGCCCCGUGUUACACACCAGCCUGCAGAGGUGAACAACAUGGAUGUCUGCCCUGGUGGAACUGGGGUAGUAAGUGAGCAGCGGUUAAAUAAAUCAGCUACUAACAAGGAAUCUGAACCGAGGAGGGCCUCUCGUCCAGCAGUGCCUCUUUGCCGCAGGCUGUGGACACCCAAGCAGAGGUGAGGUGCGGGUGACAUGGGUCAGCCUGGAGCGGGCCCCACACAGCAGCGCAAACCGGCAGCAACCACAGAAGCGGUGUUGCCUGUGGGCCCAAAGCAGCGAUGGUGCUGACUGCUCCUGAGGGGGCAGCCACUCCCAGAGGCUGGUCAGCACCAGUGUUUCAGAGGGUCAUGAGCACAGGAUGGAGAAUUCUGGGUGUCUCCACCAUCACGCAGGACGAACGUCACAGAUGAACCACACGCAGCUCGACUCUGCGUCCACCGUGGAAAUCGUCACGAGACAGAGGCGAAAACGUUAAUGGAGAAUCAACACUGAAAUCAAGUCGUUCAAACCCCAAUGCACAGGGGCAUCUGAUCACACCGAAAUCUGUGUCUGACGAGCACAGAGAACUGGUGCAUAUGAAGUCAGAGAGCAGGACCUUAUUAGGAGAUGAGAAAUAGAAACAACGAUUUCUUGAAGGCAUUGCUGAAAUGCUGAAAAACAACAUUACAAAGAAAGAGAUUUUAUCCAAGAAAUUUUCCGACAUUUAAGCUGCUGUGGUGUUUGUAUAAAUAAAGAAUUACUUCGACUCACUCCCAGAGCUCACAUUUUCAGUAAUAUGCUCACAUAUCUUCCAGGAGUCGUUGCUAAUGAAAGUCAAGCUGCAUUUAUGAAUAUGAAUUAUUCACACCGGCCUGUUGAUACACAAGAGCUAAUUUUCAAGAUACUGUGGGUAAACACCAUAAAGUUGUAUUAAAUAUUCAUAUAAUCACUGUGAUAAUUAAUCCAUAAAGCAAUUAUAAUUAAAAUGAAAGUAUCUUGUCUUAUAAAUAACCAAGUAAAAUAGAACUUUAAAAGAUAAAAGGGCAUCACUCCACGUUUAUAUCUGUUAGCCCACUGUGAAGGGUUCAAUGAACCGUCUCUACCGUAUUCAUGUGUCCAGUCAGUGUCACUGAGCCACGGGACACGCUCUGAGAAAUGUGUCGUUCGGUGAUGCCGUCCUUGUGCUCACGCAAUCCUAGGCUGUCUAGCCUGCUGCUCGGCCAGGCUCCACGGUGCUGAUCUUACGGGACCAGCAUCGUACAUGCGGUCCCUCGCUGACCAAGACAUCAUGAUGCAGCACAUGAGUAUCAUUGCUUUUCAAGAAGCAAAGUCAGAGUGUGUUUCUCCAGGAGAGGAGACUUUAUGAGAAGAAAAUGAGGUCUCUCAAGGCCAGAAUCCUGGAGGAUUUGGGAUUAUAAUGCUGGGAUUGGAAUUCUCAUCAAGCAAGAACAGGGUCCUGGUACCCGACACCCGCACAGGGAACUGUUGGUGUGUUACACACGUCUACAUUCCCCUUCCUAACCCUCCCGUGGAUGAGAGGCUGUGGUCUCGUAGAUCAGAUGACUGAGAGGGUGUGCUGCCACCCCAUUGUCUCCCGUCCCUCAGCAAACCAGGGGGUGAGAAGGAUCGGGACAGACAGAAGGCGGAAACAGAAAUUGUAUUUAAUUCCAGGCAACACAAGCUACUCUGAUUAGUUUAAACAACGAAGGUCGUACUUCCAAGGAUCAGAUGGUUUGCCUAGUUGCUGCAUCUGGAGGAACGAGCUGGAGCAAAGAAUCCAGGCGACCCCGUUCCCAGCCUCGGAUGCUCUGCGUGGUUGGGGAGAUCGCUCUCCCGCAGGAUAAAGACUUGUUCCCCCAGACACGUCCCCAGAGGGCAGGCAGGUGGUCGACAUGCAUGGCGGACGGUAAAAGAAGUAAAAGUGAAUCCAGCAGAAGUCAAGGGGCAACACGAUGCUGCCACCCAUAAAAAAAACCCCAUACGUGCACAGCAUGCGCCCCAACCACCUCUGGUUUCCAGAAGAGGCCCACGAGGCGAAUGGAUGUAGAUCAGACCUAGGAGUGAGGGUUACUUGAAUAACAUGCAUCGUUGCACGUCUUCAUCAAUACACUCUUUCAAAACCUCAAACCUCCUUCUCCAUGGAAUCCAGCAGGGCCAGUCCUGAGGUAGAGGAGAAGCCUUUCCACAAUUAAGCAGCUGAACGGUCACUGUCCAGAUGCUGCCAGUUUCAUUUUUAUUGGACGCUGCGUGAGCGUAAUUGUGAGUCCAAGACAAAGCAGAGACCGCAAAAGAGAAAUACGGUAAACGUUUAAUCUCGUUAAUAGGUUAGCAGGAAACACAUGCUCAAAUUAGAUUACAAUGUAGUUUUCUCUUCACAUUUAAAGUUGCACAAGGCCCAUUACGCAGUAUGAGCAACCAGAACCACUUCACACAAAGAUAUUUUGUACUUGAAAAAAAAGACUACAUUUUAGAAUGCAAACAGAAUAAAGUAAUUUCAUGUCCGAAUAUAGAGAAAUAAGUUUGUAAGCCAUUUAACUGGUUAUGAAGCGGUAUCCUUAAAAGCUGGCUUAAAGCCAUAUUUAUAAGCAUUUUUUUCUUUGAUUAAACGUUUUUCUUUAAUGCCUUUCGAGAAUGUCAGUGAGUGGCUAGCCAUAUUUCUGAGCCACAGAUGAAAGCCACUCCACAUAAAGAAGGAAAUCAAUUUGUGUCUCUCCAUGUGGCAGUAACUUUGGUGCAGGCUAGAAUAAAAUGUCCUUUCUUCCUCUCCUUGUGAGCGAGACCUUCAGGAGAGCCUCAGCCCCUGCCGUGUUUCACUGACGCAGGCAUGGACAUCAUAACUUCCCAUCAGUGCGUUUGCAAACCAUUCCUCUCCAUGUUUGAAAUGCACUCGUGCAGAAGCUGAGCAGGUCCCAGGGUCGCGCCCGGCUGCCCUGGAGGAAGGAGGGUAGAGGACGACGGAGGUAAAUCGUUAGAUUAAUCCAGCGAGAAGGACGUGGGACGUGGAGCAACAGAGCGCUCGAGUCUGGUUAAUUCCAAGAUGUCCUACUGACUCUUCGUGUUUCCUGGGUUCCCUGUAAUGUUGAAGUGUCCAUGUUUCCAAAAACCCAUGUCUUCAAACAGUGACUAUGGAAGGAACUUAAAGUGAACCGUGCAUUUGAACUUUCCAAAAGAGUCUCAGAGAGCAGAGGCGGGCCCUCGUCGAGGCGAGACAGGCAGAUCUGUGAAUUAACUGUUCAGAGAUUGAAGUGGGUACCGAGGAUCCCUGGACUUCCCCCAUUUCUUCCUCCUUAGUUGGCACAUCGUUCACCAAGCUGCUGGAGCCAGAAACCUGAACUCAUGCUCUGCCUCUCCUUCCCUCCCCCACAACGCCUGGGACCCCAUGUUUGCUGGCAGGCCCAUUUCCCAGCUCUCUCCAGGGGUCCUGCUGCAUCCACGGACACGGUUCUGAGUCCCAACCAGGGACAUGACUGAGCGUCCCUGACCGGGAGGCCAUCUCAAGACUUUAUCUCGGCCUGCUUCAAACUGCCUCCCCAUAUGCAGCCAGAGCCACCUCAGAGAACCAACACCUGCUCCCACGGCUGAGCGGUGAUCCCCCUUUCCCCCGCCUCCCGUCUCCUGAGACCCUCAGAGGUGAGCCCCUUUCCCCGCCUCCCGUCUCCUGAGACCCUCAGAGGUGAGCCCCUUUCCCUGCCUCCUGUCUCCUGAGACGCUCAGUGGUAUACAGGUUGUUAAACAUCUCUCCUGUUGGAAAGAUGACGGUGGAGUGGGAGAGCGGGAGAGAAAGAGAGAGACGGAGAGAUGGAGGGAGAGGGGAGUGACAGGCAGAGAGAUGGAGGGACUGCGAAAGAGACAGACACAGAGGGCAGGAGCCGAGAGGCUGUGACAUGUGGGAGUCAGAAAUGGAACGCAGUGAUGACAGGUGACAUUUCUUGAGCAACUGUUGUGCACCAAAUACUGCCAGGCACCCGCUUCCAUACUGCUCAAUUCUCUGCACAAUCCACUGAAACGCAUCUUGGAAGCGGUGUGGUUGAGGCUGAAUAAAGAGCGUUGACUCUGGGUCCACGUUCCGGCUGCUGUGAUCUGCACUGUGGGCUCACGGACACCCUGUGGAGACCUCACCUACUGAAUCAAGUACGGUUUGUCAAGGCCUAACCCAAAGGAACAGGUGCUGCCGAAGUUUGCACCCUUGUCAGAGUUCUUCUCCUUUAGAGAUGGAGUUGGACUCACAGUCGUCUCUGGAACGUGACGAGCAUCCGGCGGGAAGUGGCUGUGUGGGCUGAGAACUAACUACCCACACCCUGGGAGCCGGGUACGUCUCUCACGGCUGCUUCGGGAGGUGAUUGUUGGGGGUGCUUGACUUCACGAUCCCAUUUCCUACGUGACAACAAAACGAGGAUAUGUGGUGACCUGUGUGGUUCCUGGAGCUCCUGCAGAGUGGACGAGACGGGGCAGCCACCCACCGGAGAGCAAGGGAGGCUCACUCAGGAGUAGCUGAGGGAGGAAGGAUGUGGUAUCGAUUGGGCCAAUACGAAAGAGAGGGGAGGGAGUGGAGUGUAGGCCACUGGGAUUCUCCCCUUGUGACAGGGACACAUUGACCAGAUAGAGCAAUUACUCAAAAUAUUAUACUUUUUAAAAUAAAUGUUGAAGAAGAUGUUUCCUAAAGUUUGUUAGGUAAGCAUCUUCCAAUAGAUGCAUCCUUUAAAAUAUAUGAGGCAUAUUUCUAUAGUCGGCUUAACAUUCCUGGGUGCCCUGGAGGCCCCGUUCACAGGGGGUCUUUGAGGCUCUGCCAUUCAUCCGUAAACCGCAUACACUGUCUUAUACCCAUGUGAUUAAAGAUAGUUCCUAAAUAUGCUCACAACUUUCACCACAUAUUUCAAUUUCAAAGGCGUUACAACUUUUUCUGAGAGAGCUUUCAUUUUACGCCAAGUUACAGAUAAGAGGAUGUCACAGAGUUUCUGCAUAACCUUAAAUAAACCAUGGUCCUUUGAGAGAGCGUCCAGGAGGGGCACGAAGGGUGGGGUCCAUCUGAGAAGACGGA